This is a non-coding RNA of Manis javanica (Malayan pangolin), 2110 nucleotides long. NCBI's taxonomy places the organism in Eukaryota, Metazoa, Chordata, Mammalia, Pholidota, Manidae. The record is from RefSeq and is a predicted model, not a curated record.
CCAAUCUGUAAAGACAGCAGGCUAGACAUGAGGAGUCUGCAGGGCUGAGAUGCCUGGAGGAGGUGGCCAGCACAACCCAGCUCCCGGCCCCCGCCAUCUCUGGGACAGAAAGAACCAACUGUAGCAGAAAAGAGGCCAACUGGGCAGCACCCGCUGCCGUGAGUACCUCCCCCGGUGGCAGCACCAGUGCUGGGUCCCCAGGGACAUUCACAGCAAAAGAAAGAUGCAGAUGAGGGCCCAGUGUGCAGGACCAAGGAAUCUCCCUUGGUGUCUGAAAGUCGGGGUUGAAGGUGGAAUAUCAGAACCACUGACCCCAAAAGUAUCCAUCCACCCAAGCUUUUUAAGAGACCCAGUAGCAUCCACCAGAACAGAAAUGAUAUCUGAGGGAAAGCCCAGCCUCCUAGACCUCAGCACAGUCCAUAUGACCCCUCUCAAGCGUCAUACACAACCACCCUGUGUACUGGGACACUGGGCAGCAUCACCUCAGGGCAGGGCCCCUCCCUAAAUCAUGGUCAUACCGCCUGACGUGGAAAUGGGCCCUUUGCAUACUCACUCAUGACUGCCCAAGACUCCCACAUGCUCAGACUGCACUGUCUCCUUGCACACUUCUCUCUGCACACUCAUGCCCAUACAAAAGACAUGGAUGGCUCCUCCUGCACUUCCACAUGGUCAUUCUCUGACCCGACACUUUGUACAUGCCCCAGGCAGUGUGCACUCACCCUUACAAUUACCCCCACCCAGUCCCUCAGACCCAUACCACCCUCGUGCCAUCUCAGUUCUUCACCCUGCACAUUCCUUGUCCCUGAAUGCUGGAGCUCUACUUGCAUUCACACACAUAGAUACCUUCACACACACACACAUGCACAUGCACACACACAAAACAGUUACUCCACAGUCCCUGGGCCCCCAACUUCCAUGGCUGAGGACUGCAUGGUCAGUGAUAGUUGGUGGGAGAUGUGCUCUGGCUGCUCCGAUGGAAAAAGCCACACUGGGAUGUCAAGGGAGGAGGGGAGCAGAAGAGAUGGAGCAUGGGAACCCUGAGGAGGGAUUGAGGCCCUUAUCUCUGCUCUGUCCCCUUCCAUGACAGCAGGGAGCAGGGAUCCUGGAACCACUUUCUUGAAGGCAUCAAUCUCCCUAAGACUGGCCAGGUUCCCACCCAACAGUUUGGACCCUCUUCCAGGGCCCCAUCCACUAACGACUCACAUUUGCCAAAGGGUGUUCUUGGGCCUGAGGCAGUGCGGGCAAUUCUCCAUAGCGCCCCAAGGACAUGCAUGGUUCCACAAGGCCCAGAGGUGGCAUGCGGCCAAGGUAUGACCACCGGUGGGGAGAUGAUUCCCUGUACGCCAUGUGCAUGUGCAUUUUUCAUGUGACUCGGACACAAAUGUGGUUCUCUACACACUUUGUACAACACUGUUCAGGCAGCGCUUAGUAUGUGCGGGCUCCCAGUUCAGCUCUGGAGGAUCCACUGUUGGCCUUCUUGGUGAGUUUCCUUCCCAGCCUUUCCUGCCAUGCUCUAGUUAAAUCAGACCACAUUUCUCUGCCUCCAGUGGUCUCAAGCUUUCUCUCCAUGUCCUCGACUACACAAGGCUCACUACCCACCGCACUAAACUAGUAAAUCUCUGAGGACAAGACCUGCAUGUGACUUAUCCCUGAAACAUCCUGGUCCAUGAAGGGAGCAGGACCAGCAGCGCCAGCACCAGCAGCCCAGCCAGCACCGCCAGGAGGAUGACCCACCAGGGCACUCCCGCCGUCCCCACCACUGCAGGGUCCAACCCUGCAGCUCACCACUGUGGAGGCAUCUCUGAGCAGCAGGUUUUUGAUGGAAGACUUCACAGUGAUGUUGGCUCGGACAAUCACUUCCAGGGACUUCAUGGCUGAGGUUAAGAGAGUGCUGCAUCUGGACAGGGAGGAGAUCGGAGGAGGGGUCCUGGGGGUGCUGCUGGAGUACAGGACGCCCACCUGGCAUCCAGCACUGCUCUCACCUCCAAGAAGGUGCUGUUCCAGAGCCGGCCCCAGAUGUGCAGCACAGCCGCACGGUCAAAGCUGUAAAGAGGGCAGCUGAACACCACACAGCUGGCCGUACCACGGGCACAGUCCUGCACAGAGACAG